UACGUAGGGUGCAAGCGUUGUCCGGAAUUAUUGGGCGUAAAGAGCUCGUAGGCGGUCUGUCGCGUCUGCUGUGAAAACUCAGGGCUUAACCCUGAGCUUGCAGUGGGUACGGGCAGACUAGAGUGCGGUAGGGGAGACUGGAAUUCCUGGUGUAGCGGUGAAAUGCGCAGAUAUCAGGAGGAACACCGGUGGCGAAGGCGGCCAACUGGACGAAUACUGACGCU
RNAcentral lists this ribosomal RNA (224 nucleotides) under uncultured bacterium. Its description in RNAcentral is "partial 16S ribosomal RNA". It matches the Rfam family "Bacterial small subunit ribosomal RNA", at positions 524 to 747 of the family's 1533-position model. The record is from RNAcentral.